RNAcentral lists this ribosomal RNA (848 nucleotides) under Didymella macrostoma. RNAcentral describes it as "partial large subunit ribosomal RNA". It matches the Rfam family "Eukaryotic large subunit ribosomal RNA", at positions 69 to 935 of the family's 3401-position model. The record is from RNAcentral. Lineage: Eukaryota; Fungi; Ascomycota; Dothideomycetes; Pleosporales; Didymellaceae.
CAGGGAUUGCCCUAGUAACGGCGAGUGAAGCGGCAACAGCUCAAAUUUGAAAUCUGGCGUCUUUGGCGUCCGAGUUGUAAUUUGCAGAGGGCGCUUUGGCAUUGGCAGCGGUCCAAGUUCCUUGGAACAGGACGUCACAGAGGGUGAGAAUCCCGUACGUGGUCGCUAGCCUUUACCGUGUAAAGCCCCUUCGACGAGUCGAGUUGUUUGGGAAUGCAGCUCUAAAUGGGAGGUAAAUUUCUUCUAAAGCUAAAUACUGGCCAGAGACCGAUAGCGCACAAGUAGAGUGAUCGAAAGAUGAAAAGCACUUUGGAAAGAGAGUUAAAAAGCACGUGAAAUUGUUGAAAGGGAAGCGCUUGCAGCCAGACUUGCCUGUAGUUGCUCAUCUAGGUUUCUACCUAGUGCACUCUUCUAUAGGCAGGCCAGCAUCAGUUUGGGCGGUUGGAUAAAGGUCUCUGUCAUGUACCUCUCUUCGGGGAGAACUUAUAGGGGAGACGACAUGCAACCAGCCUGGACUGAGGUCCGCGCAUCUGCUAGGAUGCUGGCGUAAUGGCUGUAAGCGGCCCGUCUUGAAACACGGACCAAGGAGUCUAACAUCUAUGCGAGUGUUUGGGUGUCAAGCCCGAGCGCGUAAUGAAAGUGAACGGAGGUGGGAACCUUUCGGGGUGCACCAUCGACCGAUCCUGAUGUCUUCGGAUGGAUUUGAGUAAGAGCAUAGCUGUUGGGACCCGAAAGAUGGUGAACUAUGCUUGAAUAGGGUGAAGCCAGAGGAAACUCUGGUGGAGGCUCGCAGCGGUUCUGACGUGCAAAUCGAUCGUCAAAUUUGGGCAUAGGGGCGAAAGACUAAU